UACCUGCAGCUCAAGUGGUGACCACUAUUAUUGGGCCUAAAACGUUCGUAGCCGGUUUGGUAAAUGCCUGGGUAAAUCGUGUAGCUUAACUAUACGAAUUCCGGGUAGACUGCCAAACUUGAGACCGGGAGAAGCUAGAGGUACUCCUGGGGUAGAGGUGAAAUUCUGCAAUCCUGGGGGGACCACCAGUGGCGAAGGCGUCUAGCUAGAACGGGUUUGACGGUGAGGAACGAAGCCCUGGGGCGCAAACCGGAUUAGAUACCCCGGGUAGUCCAGGGUGUAAACGCUGCUUGCUUGAUGUUAGUUGGGCUCCGAGCCCAAUUAGUGUCGGAGAGAAGUUGUUAAGCAAGCUGCCUGGGAAGUACGAUCGCAAGAUUGAAACUUAAAGGAAUUGGCGGGGGAGCACAGCAACGGGUGGAGCGUGCGGUUU
This 430-nucleotide ribosomal RNA is filed under the name uncultured archaeon. Its description in RNAcentral is "bacterial SSU rRNA". It matches the Rfam family "Archaeal small subunit ribosomal RNA", at positions 474 to 903 of the family's 1478-position model. The record is from RNAcentral.